This 629-nucleotide long non-coding RNA is filed under the name Coturnix japonica (Japanese quail). RNAcentral's name for it is "lncRNA (ENSCJPG00005018921.1)". The record is from RNAcentral. Lineage: Eukaryota; Metazoa; Chordata; Aves; Galliformes; Phasianidae.
GCUGUGACUUACAUUACAGGGUGUCCACCGAUAGCGUUCUGAUUAGGAAUCCGCUGCAGAACGAAAGAUGGAUUAGUAAAUUGCAAAGGAUUAAUAACCAGUUUAAGGAUGAGCUGGAUUAUAAAGACUAUACUAUCCAACAACUUAAACAGGAGCUGGAGGAAAAGGACCAUAAUCUUCAAAAGUGGCGUGAGGAGAGAGAUCAGUUAGUAGAAGCUUUGGAAGAACAGCUCAAAACUUUGGCUUCUAAUGCCAUACAAAAAGAGACAGAAAUAGCAGAACUGAGACAAUCUGCCUUAAAGGAUUCAAGCAAGCCUAGGAAACAACAAAGCAAAACUAAAACUGGAGAAAGUAUUCCAUUAAGAUGCAAAGCUGAAGACAAUUAUUUGUCACGUCGAUGUACUAGGAGCCUCACUUCAUUAAAUGAAUCUGAGGUUAGUAUGAAACUUCAGAUCUGAAAAUGUUGUGAUUGUAUUGCUUUUGAUAAGGAAUGAGUAGGAAAAGAUCUCAUGUUCUCUAAACAAUUCCCAAGUUUUAAUUUAUUUAUCCCUUUCAAGGUGAUCAGAUCACCUGUUUUUAUAGCCUUUGAUAGGAAUAAAAGCUGUUGAAACAAUUGUGUGAUGAAUUUU